Molecule: long non-coding RNA, 1639 nt
Organism: Sinocyclocheilus anshuiensis
Lineage: Eukaryota; Metazoa; Chordata; Actinopteri; Cypriniformes; Cyprinidae
Source: Ensembl
GUCUUUUAUCCACCGCAGUACCUAGCCAAGGUACAUAUCCUCAGGUACAGCCACCUCAAAAAGAAAGUCCCAGGCAUAUUGCUAGGCCAAUCGUUACCUCUAAUCCAGCACAUCGUCCCAAAGUAAGGCCAUGGGUGCCUCCGGACCAUAGUGCCGACCAGAGAAAGGAGUUUAGACCCAAAGACUCUAGAUCCAGAGACUCUCGAUCCAAAGACUCCAGACCUGGUCCUCCCCAUCAACCCCAUCAUUCCGAACACAGCUCAACAGAAAAGUCACACAAAGAUCUCACACACAAGCUUGAAGCCAAAAACUCUGAAACCACAAGCAAGCAAAGGUUUAACUUACCUUCAAACCCCAUUUCAAAGCAUUCGUCAAAGCAAAGACCAAGCGUUAGCCCAAAACCACAAGCCAGGCACUCAUCUACAACUGACCAUAGUAUUGAACACAAUCACAGAAGCAAUGAACCUGCAGGAGUGUCAAUCCACAGUUCACACUCCAAAUCAGGCCAUUCAUCUCAUUUUAAUACUCUAAAGAGUUCCGACCGUGGUCCCUCGUCAAAGUCCAGGGACUCAUCCCAAAGCGAAGUCAACAGUCGAUCUAGUCACAGCUCGAAGACUAAAUCUUUCCCAGAUACAAAGCAGUCCAGCUCUAAACAGACUUCCCAACAGAGUUCCAGUCCAAAGCCCAAGGUCAAAUUAGGGGAUGCCCCAGUGCCCAGAACCGGGCAUUUCCAAAAAGACACAAAGCCCAGAGAGAGAGAGCGAGAGGUGGGCAACCGAGGUAAGGCCCAGGGAGCAACCCUGGUGCAGACCAGCAAGGAGCAGAGACAAAGACUGGCGCAGGAGCAAGUAAUAAGGCGUCGCUGGGUUCGGAGUUCUGAGGAAGAGGAAGACAAGGAAGAUAGGAGAACCGAGGAAAGGGAAAGAGAGAGGAAGCGGAGGAGGAGGAGGGAGCAGGAAGUUGAAUGGAAGGCAGUGCAGCCCAAGCAAAGACCUCACACCAACAGCCAGCAUCACGCUCAAAAGGAAUACAAUGGACUUAACCUUGAGGAGCAGAGAAGGAAGAAGAGAAGGUGGAGCAAUGAGGACAUUUCCUCAGGUCCUCAUGUGACAGACACUAGCCUUUCUCCUCCACUUUCUCCACCUUCCCCUACUCCUGUCAUCAAGCCCACUCGUCCAUCAUCUUCCUCGUCCUCAUCAUCCUCAUCUUCCUCAUCAUCUUCCUCCGAAUCAGACUCUGAGUCCAGUCCACCCCAGAAUGUUGCCAAAGUCCCUGCAGAUUCAACAUCAAACCAAAAAGCUGUGUCAAAAAGGAGGCAUGACAAACAGACUUCAGGCACUGGUGCUCAACCCCACGGGUCGAGCAUAAGCACCCCUGAGAUAGAUAAACAAGGUCGGGGCAGACACAAACUCUACACACUGGUGCCUUUCGGCCGAUCUGAAAAGUCCCCCAACGUCGCACAUCGAGGCCUGAGAAAACUUGUUGUGAGGAUAGACCUCUCGCUUCUGGGUAGAGUCCCUAGUGCAGAUGAGAUUACCGAGGGACAGUCCUCAUCUUCAGCUUUGUCAUCGGGAAAGGCAAAAGAAAAGACAUCAAUGAAACACCUGCACCGCUUGGACCAACUGCCUGGAGAUGGCAG